UAUCUCGGGGCUGGCAGGUGGUUUCUGCCUCUCCCUCACUCAGCAAACACGCAGCUUGGUCUCGGCAUGCACCUCGCCUAUCUCAUCCUCACGGUCUUCCUGGGCCAGCUCCUGGGCACCACGGGGCAGAUCACGGUCACCCAGGAAGAUGGACAAGUCAUAGUGGAGCAGAGACAUCCCUUCCAGACCACCUGCACAUACCAGAUCAGUAAUUUUAGGGCAUUGCUCUGGUACCAGGUGCGGAAAGGCCAAGCCCCACAGCUGGUCUCCUAUCACGCAGGGCCUGGCGCCAAGCACAGCGGCCGUAUCACCACGCACCUGAACACUACGGGGAAAUACAGUGUCCUGCAGGUGGAGGAAGUGGAGGUCUCUGACAGUGCCUUGUACCUCUGUGCUGUGCAAGACACCCUGGUGCAGGGAACUUCCUCGGCUGUGCAACAAGCCAGCGGAGGGAGGGAGGGAGGGAGGGGAUGUGUCUGUGAGAGGGUGAGCUUGGGGCAAGGGAACCUGAGGUCGCCCCGAUGCUCACCAGACGGGACCUCCCCACGUCUGUACAAUGGCCUGAUGGUUUUCACCCCAUCCAUGCUAGCACUUCCCUCGGGAAAAUGUUCUGGACUAUUUUGACUCAUUUCCACCCUGUGCAGUCUCUAAGUGAAGA
Molecule: non-coding RNA, 658 nt
Organism: Corvus hawaiiensis (hawaiian crow)
Lineage: Eukaryota; Metazoa; Chordata; Aves; Passeriformes; Corvidae
Source: the annotation of a RefSeq genome assembly